GAAUGGAUUUCGAGGAACUCAAAUGAUUUACGAAAGGUUUAUACUAAACAUACCGGUUUUUACAAAACAAAUGCUUAUUUUCGAAAUAUGAAUGAUUUUUCAUAACUAAGGAGUCAGUCAGGGUGGCUGGGAAGGUUCAGUCAGGGUGGCUGGGAAAGUUCAGUCAGGGGUGGCUGGGGAGGCUCAGCCAGGGUGGCUGAGGUGGAAUAUAUGUUACAGAACAACAUGGGGCCAUUAGUCCUCAUGGAGGGACCGAGGGACAGGAGCGGUAGAUCUAUCUGGGUGUAGCGAGCCCAGCCCCCGGCCAAACUAGAAACGGACCGUGGGGUGACUUUGUCCACAUACUUUGCCGUGGCGAAAUCUGCUAGGUUUGAGUCUCCCUAUUUGCACUUCACAUAUGUCAGUGGCCUUGCAAACCAUUGGUGAUCACAAGUCCUCUUACACUGCUACAUACCAGGGAUUUUAUACUUACGGAAACUUUUAGUUCAUACAAAUUAACUACCAUGUUUUAUACAAAUCCAAAGAAUUAUGGGGGUAUAGAGUCAAGGUCAGGGUGGGCAUUGACGGUUAU
RNAcentral lists this long non-coding RNA (571 nucleotides) under Helianthus annuus (common sunflower). RNAcentral describes it as "sRNA HanXRQr2_Chr04g0161131". Lineage: Eukaryota; Viridiplantae; Streptophyta; Magnoliopsida; Asterales; Asteraceae. The record is from RNAcentral.